GGGUUUUGAUGAUUUAAAUACAUGCACUCAACUAUACUCCAAAUGCUUUUAUUGAGCUUGGAAAGUUGACCAAUGUUUUUAUUGAGCUUGUGAAAGUUGAUCUUGAUAAACAAUCAAAGAAAGAGAACUUCUCUAGCUUAGUAGGCUAAGUAGGUUUGGAAAGACUUCUUUUCUAAUGUAAAAUGUAUCUAAAAUACUGAUUGAUGGUAAAUCCAAACAUGUUUAUGCUACAAUAUUUUAUAUUUUUUCCGGGAUUAACAGUUAACAGGGCUGUGAUAUCAUUGUAUUGUAUUGUAAGCCUAACAUGAUUUUAAGUAGAUUAAAUAUUAUAUUAAAAAUAUCUAUGGGAAAUCUUAUUGUGAAUGGUCAAUAUCAUCUGUUGAGAUCAACACAGCAGUAGAACAUGUUCAGUUAUUAAAGAUAUGUGCACACCUGUUUAUUAUUAGUAGUAAUGUUCUUCUGUUGUUUUACUCCUUGUGUUUAUUGUGUACGUGUAAGGGACUAUUUUUCUGUUGUACUGCUAAUAAAGGAUACUGAUAAUGAACAACUAAA
Molecule: long non-coding RNA, 552 nt
Organism: Gadus macrocephalus (Pacific cod)
Lineage: Eukaryota; Metazoa; Chordata; Actinopteri; Gadiformes; Gadidae
Exons: 2
Source: RefSeq, a predicted model, not a curated record